This 253-nucleotide ribosomal RNA is filed under the name uncultured bacterium. RNAcentral's name for it is "partial 16S ribosomal RNA". It matches the Rfam family "Bacterial small subunit ribosomal RNA", at positions 524 to 776 of the family's 1533-position model. The record is from RNAcentral.
GACGUAGGGCGCAAGCGUUGUCCGGAUUUAUUGGGCGUAAAGAGCUCGUAGGCGGCUUGUCGCGUCGACUGUGAAAACCCGCAGCUUAACUGCGGGACUGCAGUCGAUACGGGCAGGCUAGAGUUCGGUAGGGGAGACUGGAAUUCCUGGUGUAGCGGUGAAAUGCGCAGAUAUCAGGAGGAACACCGGUGGCGAAGGCGGAUCUCUGGGCCGAUACUGACGCUGAGGAGCGAAAGCGUGGGGAGCGAACAGG